UAGCUUGCUCUCGGGUGACGAGUGGCGGACGGGUGAGUAAUGUCUGGGAAACUGCCUGAUGGAGGGGGAUAACUACUGGAAACGGUAGCUAAUACCGCAUAAUGUCGCAAGACCAAAGAGGGGGACCUUCGGGCCUCUUGCCAUCAGAUGUGCCCAGAUGGGAUUAGCUAGUAGGUGGGGUAACGGCUCACCUAGGCGACGAUCCCUAGCUGGUCUGAGAGGAUGACCAGCCACACUGGAACUGAGACACGGUCCAGACUCCUACGGGAGGCAGCAGUGGGGAAUAUUGCACAAUGGGCGCAAGCCUGAUGCAGCCAUGCCGCGUGUAUGAAGAAGGCCUUCGGGUUGUAAAGUACUUUCAGCGGGGAGGAAGGUGUUGUGGUUAAUAACUGCAGCAAUUGACGUUACCCGCAGAAGAAGCACCGGCUAACUCCGUGCCAGCAGCCGCGGUAAUACGGAGGGUGCAAGCGUUAAUCGGAAUUACUGGGCGUAAAGCGCACGCAGGCGGUCUGUCAAGUCAGAUGUGAAAUCCCCGGGCUCAACCUGGGAACUGCAUUCGAAACUGGCAGGCUAGAGUCUUGUAGAGGGGGGUAGAAUUCCAGGUGUAGCGGUGAAAUGCGUAGAGAUCUGGAGGAAUACCGGUGGCGAAGGCGGCCCCCUGGACGAAGACUGACGCUCAGGUGCGAAAGCGUGGGGAGCAAACAGGAUUAGAUACCCUGGUAGUCCACGCCGUAAACGAUGUCGAUUUGGAGGUUGUGCCCUUGAGGCGUGGCUUCCGGAGCUAACGCGUUAAGUCGACCGCCUGGGGAGUACGGCCGCAAGGUUAAAACUCAAAUGAAUUGACGGGGGCCCGCACAAGCGGUGGAGCAUGUGGUUUAAUUCGAUGCAACGCGAAGAACCUUACCUGGUCUUGACAUCCACGGAAGUUUUCAGAGAUGAGAAUGUGCCUUCGGGAACCGUGAGACAGGUGCUGCAUGGCUGUCGUCAGCUCGUGUUGUGAAAUGUUGGGUUAAGUCCCGCAACGAGCGCAACCCUUAUCCUUUGUUGCCAGCGGUCCGGCCGGGAACUCAAAGGAGACUGCCAGUGAUAAACUGGAGGAAGGUGGGGAUGACGUCAAGUCAUCAUGGCCCUUACGACCAGGGCUACACACGUGCUACAAUGGCGCAUACAAAGAGAAGCGACCUCGCGAGAGCAAGCGGACCUCAUAAAGUGCGUCGUAGUCCGGAUUGGAGUCUGCAACUCGACUCCAUGAAGUCGGAAUCGCUAGUAAUCGUGGAUCAGAAUGCCACGGUGAAUACGUUCCCGGGCCUUGUACACACCGCCCGUCACACCAUGGGAGUGGGUGCAAAAGAAGUAGUG
RNAcentral lists this ribosomal RNA (1359 nucleotides) under Salmonella sp. RNAcentral describes it as "bacterial SSU rRNA". It matches the Rfam family "Bacterial small subunit ribosomal RNA", at positions 72 to 1431 of the family's 1533-position model. Lineage: Bacteria; Pseudomonadati; Pseudomonadota; Gammaproteobacteria; Enterobacterales; Enterobacteriaceae. The record is from RNAcentral.